Molecule: small nucleolar RNA, 73 nt
Filed under: Buceros rhinoceros silvestris
Lineage: Eukaryota; Metazoa; Chordata; Aves; Bucerotiformes; Bucerotidae
Description: Small nucleolar RNA SNORA57
Source: Rfam by way of RNAcentral
ACUCCCAUUCUUGGCAGGCCCCGGCCGCCCUGUGCCCGGGUCUGUGAUGUCCGGAGGUAGAGCAGUGACUCUU